RNAcentral lists this ribosomal RNA (587 nucleotides) under Paraphaeosphaeria michotii. RNAcentral describes it as "partial large subunit ribosomal RNA". It matches the Rfam family "Eukaryotic large subunit ribosomal RNA", at positions 87 to 686 of the family's 3401-position model. Lineage: Eukaryota; Fungi; Ascomycota; Dothideomycetes; Pleosporales; Didymosphaeriaceae. The record is from RNAcentral.
CGGCGAAGUGAAGCGGCAACAGCUCAAAUUUGAAAUCUGGCUCUCUUUGGGGGUCCGAGUUGUAAUUUGCAGAGGAUGCUUUGGCAUUGGCAGCGGUCUAAGUUCCUUGGAACAGGACAUCACAGAGGGUGAGAAUCCCGUACGUGGUCGCUUGCCUUUGCCGUGUAAAGCUCCUUCGACGAGUCGAGUUGUUUGGGAAUGCAGCUCUAAAUGGGAGGUAAAUUUCUUCUAAAGCUAAAUACUGGCCAGAGACCGAUAGCGCACAAGUAGAGUGAUCGAAAGAUGAAAAGUACUUUGGAAAGAGAGUCAAAAAGCACGUGAAAUUGUUGAAAGGGAAGCGCUUGCAGCCAGACUUGCCCGCAGUUGCUCACCUAGGCUUUUGCCUGGGGCACUCUUCUGCGGGCAGGCCAGCAUCAGUUUGGGCGGUUGGAUAAAGGCCUCUGUCACGUAUCAUCCUUCGGGAUGACCUUAUAGGGGAGGCGUAAUGCAACCAGCCCGGACUGAGGUCCGCGCAUCUGCUAGGAUGCUGGCGUAAUGGCUGUAAGCGGCCCGUCUUGAAACACGGACCAAGGAGUCUAACAUCUAUG